GACGAACGCUGGCGGCGUGCUUAACACAUGCAAGUCGAACGGAAAGGCCCUGCUUUUGUGGGGUGCUCGAGUGGCGAACGGGUGAGUAACGCGUGAGUAACCUGCCCUUGACUUUGGGAUAACUUCAGGAAACUGGGGCUAAUACCGGAUAGGAGCUCCUGCUGCAUGGUGGGGGUUGGAAAGUUUCGGCGGUUGGGGAUGGACUCGCGGCUUAUCAGCUUGUUGGUGGGGUAGUGGCUUACCAAGGCUUUGACGGGUAGCCGGCCUGAGAGGGUGACCGGCCACAUGGGGACUGAGAUACGGCCCAGACUCCUACGGGAGGCAGCAGUGGGGAAUAUUGCACAAUGGGCGGAAGCCUGAUGCAGCAACGCCGCGUGCGGGAUGACGGCCUUCGGGUUGUAAACCGCUUUCGCCUGUGACGAAGCGUGAGUGACGGUAAUGGGUAAAGAAGCACCGGCUAACUACGUG
RNAcentral lists this ribosomal RNA (468 nucleotides) under uncultured bacterium. Its description in RNAcentral is "partial 16S ribosomal RNA". It matches the Rfam family "Bacterial small subunit ribosomal RNA", at positions 28 to 507 of the family's 1533-position model. The record is from RNAcentral.